CAGCAGCCGCGGUAAUACGGAGGAUCCAAGCGUUAUCCGGAAUCAUUGGGUUUAAAGGGUCCGUAGGCGGUUUAGUAAGUCAGUGGUGAAAGCCCAUCGCUCAACGGUGGAACGGCCAUUGAUACUGCUAAACUUGAAUUAUUAGGAAGUAACUAGAAUAUGUAGUGUAGCGGUGAAAUGCUUAGAGAUUACAUGGAAUACCAAUUGCGAAGGCAGGUUACUACUAAUGGAUUGACGCUGAUGGACGAAAGCGUGGGUAGCGAACAGGAUUAGAUACCCUGGUAGUCCACGCCGUAAACGAUGGAUACUAGCUGUUGGGAGCAAUUUCAGUGGCUAAGCGAAAGUGAUAAGUAUCCCACCUGGGGAGUACGUUCGCAAGAAUGAAACUCAAAGGAAUUGACGG
Molecule: ribosomal RNA, 403 nt
Filed under: uncultured bacterium
Lineage: Bacteria
Description: bacterial SSU rRNA
Rfam family: Bacterial small subunit ribosomal RNA
Source: RNAcentral